CUUAUGCCAGGCACAUUUUGGUUAAAUGUGUAUUAUAGACAAAUACAUAUUGUAAAUAAUGUGCAAACCUUUUAGAAAUCGUUUAGAGUUUACUCCCUCACAACGUUGGACCUCCUUCUCCCAAACAUGAAAGUUCUUAACUGAUAAUUUCCAAAAAUGUUCCAGCAUGGUAGACCGUAGACUCAUAGUUAUUCUUCUGAUGAAAGAACUAGG
Pelobates cultripes (western spadefoot toad) is the source of this 213-nucleotide non-coding RNA. Lineage: Eukaryota; Metazoa; Chordata; Amphibia; Anura; Pelobatidae. The record is from the annotation of a GenBank genome assembly.